RNAcentral lists this ribosomal RNA (484 nucleotides) under uncultured bacterium. RNAcentral describes it as "partial 16S ribosomal RNA". It matches the Rfam family "Bacterial small subunit ribosomal RNA", at positions 30 to 507 of the family's 1533-position model. The record is from RNAcentral.
AUUGAACGCUAGCGGGAUGCUUUACACAUGCAAGUCGAACGGCAGCGCGGACUUCGGUCUGGCGGCGAGUGGCGAACGGGUGAGUAAUGUAUCGGAACGUGCCCAGUAGCGGGGGAUAACUACGCGAAAGCGUAGCUAAUACCGCAUACGCCCUACGGGGGAAAGCAGGGGAUCGCAAGACCUUGCACUAUUGGAGCGGCCGAUAUCGGAUUAGCUAGUUGGUGAGGUAACGGCUCACCAAGGCGACGAUCCGUAGCUGGUUUGAGAGGACGACCAGCCACACUGGGACUGAGACACGGCCCAGACUCCUACGGGAGGCAGCAGUGGGGAAUUUUGGACAAUGGGGGCAACCCUGAUCCAGCCAUCCCGCGUGUGCGAUGAAGGCCUUCGGGUUGUAAAGCACUUUUGGCAGGAAAGAAACGUCGCGGGCUAAUACCCCGUGGAACUGACGGUACCUGCAGAAUAAGCACCGGCUAACUACGUG